AAGUAUGAAGCGAUUUAUUGCAUUUAGUUUCGACCUAAUUUUAGAUAUAAAUUAUAUCCUUACUUU
Molecule: transfer RNA, 66 nt
Filed under: Oliarces clara
Lineage: Eukaryota; Metazoa; Arthropoda; Insecta; Neuroptera; Ithonidae
Description: tRNA-Arg
Source: RNAcentral